AGUAUGUGUGUUAGUGGAAGCGUCUGGAAAGGCGCGCGAUACAGGGUGACAGCCCCGUACACAAAAAUGCACAUGCUGUGAGCUCGAUGAGUAGGGCGGGACACGUGGUAUCCUGUCUGAAUAUGGGGGGACCAUCCUCCAAGGCUAAAUACUCCUGACUGACCGAUAGUGAACCAGUACCGUGAGGGAAAGGCGAAAAGAACCCCGGCGAGGGGAGUGAAAAAGAACCUGAAACCGUGUACGUACAAGCAGUGGGAGCACGCUUAGGCGUGUGACUGCGUACCUUUUGUAUAAUGGGUCAGCGACUUAUAUUCUGUAGCAAGGUUAACCGAAUAGGGGAGCCGAAGGGAAACCGAGUCUUAACUGGGCGUUAAGUUGCAGGGUAUAGACCCGAAACCCGGUGAUCUAGCCAUGGGCAGGUUGAAGGUUGGGUAACACUAACUGGAGGACCGAACCGACUAAUGUUGAAAAAUUAGCGGAUGACUUGUGGCUGGGGGUGAAAGGCCAAUCAAACCGGGAGAUAGCUGGUUCUCCCCGAAAGCUAUUUAGGUAGCGCCUCGUGAAUUCAUCUCCGGGGGUAGAGCACUGUUUCGGCAAGGGGGUCAUCCCGACUUACCAACCCGAUGCAAACUGCGAAUACCGGAGAAUGUUAUCACGGGAGACACACGGCGGGUGCUAACGUCCGUCGUGAAGAGGGAAACAACCCAGACCGCCAGCUAAGGUCCCAAAGUCAUGGUUAAGUGGGAAACGAUGUGGGAAGGCCCAGACAGCCAGGAUGUUGGCUUAGAAGCAGCCAUCAUUUAAAGAAAGCGUAAUAGCUCACUGGUCGAGUCGGCCUGCGCGGAAGAUGUAACGGGGCUAAACCAUGCAC
RNAcentral lists this ribosomal RNA (871 nucleotides) under Escherichia coli. RNAcentral's name for it is "partial 23S ribosomal RNA". It matches the Rfam family "Bacterial large subunit ribosomal RNA", at positions 319 to 1194 of the family's 2925-position model. Lineage: Bacteria; Pseudomonadati; Pseudomonadota; Gammaproteobacteria; Enterobacterales; Enterobacteriaceae. The record is from RNAcentral.